CACUCCCCUUUCAUUUUACCAUUGAAGCUUAUGUCUUUAUUGGUUGUUCAAGUAGGGCAAAGGAAAUAGCCUUUUAAAUCUCAGAGGCCAGGUUAC
Molecule: small nucleolar RNA, 96 nt
Filed under: Pongo abelii (Sumatran orangutan)
Lineage: Eukaryota; Metazoa; Chordata; Mammalia; Primates; Hominidae
Rfam family: Small nucleolar RNA SNORA27
About the family: ACA27 is a member of the H/ACA class of snoRNA that guide the sites of modification of uridines to pseudouridines.
Source: RNAcentral